ACUACAUAAAUAAUUUUUACAACAUAAAAGCAAAAUAAAUUCAUAUAUAUUGUAAUACAGUAAGCCAGAGUAUUUAAUUUAAUUUACAGUAACAAGUGGGCCCUCGAAUAACCAAAAGUAAGAAAGAUUAUGAACCUACAGUUUGGAGGAUGCAAAUCCAAUGGUGGUCCUCGAUGAAAUCAGCUAUCUAUAGACUAUCCUGAGCCUGAAAUGGGUGAAAAUGAGGGUGGUGAGAUUAUAUAAUCCCAGUGAGUAAACAAAUACCAUCUAAAAUAUCUAAAGUCGAGUAAAUGGAGACAGAUAAAAUAGUUUAACAUACUGUAAUUUAUCACUUUUCAACUUGUUUUAACCAAAUAAAAUCAAUUCAUAUAAAUUGAGUAAUCAACAUGGCUUAUGAAUUUCUUCAAAGCUUUGGCUCGUGCCAAAAUCAUUCUCAUACCCAGUUAUCAGGGAUGCCAUGAUCGAAGGCUAUCCCAACCGAGUUCGCCAAGGCUAUUAAAAUUUCGUAUACACAUAAACAUAUUUUUAUUUUGAAAACAUAACCGUUCCUUGGCGUUGGCUGAGUUCACCCUCACGUGGUGGUUUGGCGUGAAGUGAACUCUAAAGUUAUACCUCGGGAGCUACCCUACUCGUCUCUCCAACCGAGGUAAAAUAUAACGAGAUUUCGUGCCCCUCUAAUAGGCUGGUCCACAGAAAACCCUGCCACUGCAGCAAGCUAAACCCACCAUACAAUAAAAUUCAACAGCAUGACAUGACAUAUUUUAUUUUAUUUUACGGCCUUUCAAGGCAAAUCAACAAAUUAUACAUUUCCAACACAUUUAUCAAAUCAACCAUUCAUGCCAAUAUUGCCAUAAGCCAAUCAAUUAGAAUCAUGAAUUUACAACACACAAAAGCAGUCUCCAAUUACUCUAUUUUCAAACCAUCAUUCAAUUUUAAAACAAUUUUAUGAAAUCAUUUCAUUAAAUCACAUUUUGUUUAUAAAACCAAAAAAUUAAUCAUUUAAUUCAUUUUCCAUAAAAUUCACAAAAUCGAAUAAAACAUACUUUAAAUAAUUAAGAUGAUGAUAAGGUUACUCACUAUUUCGGGAGUCGAAUUCCAAGUACUCCGAUUCUUGAUCCUCGGGUACUAUUUCUUUACUUUUGUCAAAAUGCUCACCACCUAGACAUAAUGAACAAUAAGCCAUUUACUAUUAUGCUAAAUUGUUAUAAAACCAAUUCAGGCUUUAUACUAAUGUAUGAAAUGGGAUGCAAAUUG
RNAcentral lists this long non-coding RNA (1254 nucleotides) under Theobroma cacao (cacao). Its description in RNAcentral is "long non-coding RNA (TCAC_LNC000512)". Lineage: Eukaryota; Viridiplantae; Streptophyta; Magnoliopsida; Malvales; Malvaceae. The record is from RNAcentral.